This 465-nucleotide ribosomal RNA is filed under the name uncultured bacterium. Its description in RNAcentral is "partial 16S ribosomal RNA". It matches the Rfam family "Bacterial small subunit ribosomal RNA", at positions 28 to 507 of the family's 1533-position model. The record is from RNAcentral.
GACGAACGCUGGCGGCGUGCUUAACACAUGCAAGUCGAACGGAAAGGCCCCUUUGGGGGUACUCGAGUGGCGAACGGGUGAGUAACACGUGAGUAACCUGCCCUUGACUUCGGGAUAACUUCAGGAAACUGGGGCUAAUACCGGAUAGGAAUCCUUGCUGCAUGGUGGGGGUUGGAAAGCUUCGGCGGUUUUGGAUGGACUCGCGGCUUAUCAGCUUGUUGGUGGGGUAGUGGCUUACCAAGGCUUUGACGGGUAGCCGGCCUGAGAGGGCGACCGGCCACACUGGGACUCAGAUACGGCCCAGACUCCUACGGGAGGCAGCAGUGGGGAAUAUUGCACAAUGGGCGGAAGCCUGAUGCAGCAACGCCGCGGGCGGGAUGACGGCCUUCGGGUUGUAAACCGCUUUCAGCAGGGGCGAAGCUUGUGGUGACGGUACCUGCAGAAGAAGCACCGGCUAACUACGUG